This 207-nucleotide ribosomal RNA is filed under the name uncultured bacterium. Its description in RNAcentral is "partial 16S ribosomal RNA". It matches the Rfam family "Bacterial small subunit ribosomal RNA", at positions 568 to 774 of the family's 1533-position model. The record is from RNAcentral.
GGCGUAGGCGGCCAGGUUAGUGAGACGUGAAAUCCUUCGGCUCAACCGAAGACCUGCGUUUCAAACUGCCUGGCUUGAGUCCGGGAGGGGAGACGGGAAUUCCUGGUGUAGCGGUGAAAUGCGCAGAUAUCAGGAAGAACACCGGCGGCGAAGGCGCGUCUCUGGACCGGUACUGACGCUGAGGCCCGAAAGCGUGGGGAGCAAACA